UACGAAGGGGGCUAGCGUUGCUCGGAAUCACUGGGCGUAAAGCGCACGUAGGCGGAUUGUUAAGUCAGGGGUGAAAUCCUGGAGCUCAACUCCAGAACUGCCUUUGAUACUGGCGAUCUCGAGUCCGGGAGAGGUGAGUGGAACUGCGAGUGUAGAGGUGAAAUUCGUAGAUAUUCGCAAGAACACCAGUGGCGAAGGCGGCUCACUGGCCCGGUACUGACGCUGAGGUGCGGAAAGCGUGGGGAGCAAACAGG
Molecule: ribosomal RNA, 254 nt
Filed under: uncultured bacterium
Lineage: Bacteria
Description: partial 16S ribosomal RNA
Rfam family: Bacterial small subunit ribosomal RNA
Source: RNAcentral